RNAcentral lists this ribosomal RNA (506 nucleotides) under uncultured bacterium. Its description in RNAcentral is "partial 16S ribosomal RNA". It matches the Rfam family "Bacterial small subunit ribosomal RNA", at positions 29 to 523 of the family's 1533-position model. The record is from RNAcentral.
AGUGAACGCUGGCGGUAGGCCUAACACAUGCAAGUCGAACGGCAGCACAGAGGAGCUUGCUCCUUGGGUGGCGAGUGGCGGACGGGUGAGGAAUACAUCGGAAUCUACUCUGUCGUGGGGGAUAACGUAGGGAAACUUACGCUAAUACCGCAUACGACCUACGGGUGAAAGCAGGGGAUCUUCGGACCUUGCGCGAUUGAAUGAGCCGAUGUCGGAUUAGCGAGUUGGCGGGGUAAAGGACCACCAAGGCGACGAUACGUAGCUGGUCUGAGGGGAUGAUCGGCCACACUGGAACUGAUAGACGGUCCAGACUCCUACGGGAGGCAGCAGUGGGGAAUAUUUGACAAUGGGCGCAAGCCUGGUCCAGCCAUACGGCGUGGGUGAAGAAGGCCUUCGGGUUGGAAAGCCCUUUUGUUGGGAAAGAAAUCCAUCUGGUUAAUACCCGGGUGGGAUGACGGUACCCAAAGAAUAAGCACCGGCUAACUUCGUGCCAGCCGCCGCCGUAA